RNAcentral lists this small RNA (78 nucleotides) under Flavobacterium hercynium. RNAcentral's name for it is "Flavo-1 RNA". It matches the Rfam family "Flavo-1 RNA". Lineage: Bacteria; Pseudomonadati; Bacteroidota; Flavobacteriia; Flavobacteriales; Flavobacteriaceae. The record is from Rfam by way of RNAcentral.
UCCUAGCCCGGACAGAAACAGCAUCCUUUGCUUGCUUUCUUUAAGCAAGCAAAGAUAUAGUGUAUGGCCGGAAUAGCU